GCGGGUCCAGGUGAAGACGCAUCUUCGCUUGGUCCAGGUGCUCCUGCUGGUGGUGCUGGUGGACCCAACAACGCUGGUGAUGGUGCUGGAGCACCGUGCUUCUUCUUGUUCUUCUUUCCCUUGCUUGGUGCUGGAGCUGGAACCGCCGGUGUGGUGGUUGGAGCAGCCACUGGUGUCACUGCUGGUGGUGAGCUGACUGGAGCAGGUGUGGGUGGUGAUUUCACAGGAACUGGUGCUGGUGGUGGAGUGCUGACUGGUGUCACCGCCGGUGGUGAUGAGGCCGCCGGAGGUGUGGCUGUUGGAGCAGCAGCUUUGGGGGAUGUAGCUGGAGGAGAUGAUUUGGGAGAAGCAACAGGAGCUGGUGUUGUUGGUGUAGUAGGAGGUGCUGCCACCGGAGAUGAAACAGGAGUGGUGGCAGCCGGAGUUGAUGGUGAGGUUGUUGGUGCAGCGGAAGGUGACUGGCCUCCGACGCCGGCGACGAUAAUGCAGAUGAAUGCGAGGGUGAAGAGAUUGUUACGAUCCAUAUUGAAAGUUUGAAAGCACUGUGUGUUUAUUUCUUUGUUUGUUGAGUUGAGAGAGAAAGAGAAGAGUGAGUGAGUGAGAGAGG
This 607-nucleotide long non-coding RNA is filed under the name Medicago truncatula (barrel medic). Its description in RNAcentral is "long non-coding RNA (MTRU_LNC002276)". The record is from RNAcentral. Lineage: Eukaryota; Viridiplantae; Streptophyta; Magnoliopsida; Fabales; Fabaceae.